This 468-nucleotide ribosomal RNA is filed under the name uncultured bacterium. RNAcentral's name for it is "partial 16S ribosomal RNA". It matches the Rfam family "Bacterial small subunit ribosomal RNA", at positions 28 to 507 of the family's 1533-position model. The record is from RNAcentral.
GACGAACGCUGGCGGCGUGCUUAACACAUGCAAGUCGAACGGAAAGGCCCUGCUUUUGUGGGGUGCUCGAGUGGCGAACGGGUGAGUAACACGUGAGUAACCUGCCCUUGACUUUGGGAUAACUUCAGGAAACUGGGGCUAAUACCGGAUAGGAGCUCCUGCUGCAUGGUGGGGGUUGGAAAGUUUCGGCGGUUGGGGAUGGACUCGCGGCUUAUCAGCUUGUUGGGGGGGUAGUGGCUUACCAAGGCUUUGACGGGUAGCCGGCCUGAGAGGGUGACCGGCCACAUUGGGACUGAGAGACGGCCCAGACUCCUACGGGAGGCAGCAGUGGGGAAUAUUGCACAAUGGGCGGAAGCCUGAUGCAGCAACGUCGCGUGCGGGAUGACGGCCUUCGGGUUGUAAACCGCUUUCGCCUGUGACGAAGCGUGAGUGACGGUAAUGGGUAAAGAAGCACCGGCUAACUACGUG